RNAcentral lists this ribosomal RNA (504 nucleotides) under uncultured Glomeromycotina. Its description in RNAcentral is "SSU rRNA". It matches the Rfam family "Eukaryotic small subunit ribosomal RNA", at positions 569 to 1077 of the family's 1831-position model. Lineage: Eukaryota; Fungi; Glomeromycota. The record is from RNAcentral.
AGCAGCCGCGGUAAUUCCGGCACCAAUAGCGUAUAUUAAAGUUGUUGCAGUUAAAAAGCUCGUAGUUGAAUUUCAGGCCUGGCUGGACGGUCCGCCCUUCGGGUGAGUACUGUCUGUGGUCGGGUCCUACCUUCUGGCGAAGCGUCAUGGCCUUAACCGGCCGUGGCGGGGAACCAGGACUUUUACUGUGAAAAAAUUAGAGUGUUCAAAGCAGGCAAUCGCUUGGAUACAUUAGCAUGGAAUAAUGGAAUAGGACAAUGGUUCUAUUUGUUGGUUUCUAGGACCGUUGUAAUGAUUAAUAGGGAUAGUUGGGGGCAUUAGUAUUCAAUUGUCAGAGGUGAAAUUCUUGGAUUUAUUGAAGACUAACUACUGCGAAAGCAUUUGCCAAGGAUGUUUUCAUUAAUCAAGAACGAAAGUUAGGGGAUCGAAGACGAUCAGAUACCGUCGUAGUCUUAACCAUAAACUAUGCCGACUAGGAAUCGGGCGAUGUUGAAAAAAUGACGC